Molecule: ribosomal RNA, 627 nt
Filed under: uncultured organism
Description: bacterial SSU rRNA
Rfam family: Bacterial small subunit ribosomal RNA
Source: RNAcentral
GGCUUGUAUCGACCCGAGCUGUGCCGAAGCUAACGCGGUUAAGUAAUCCCGCCCUGGGGAGUACGCACGCAAAGUGUGAAACCUCAAAAGGAAUUGACGGGGGCCCGCACAANCGGUGGAGUAUGUGGUUUAAUUUGCGAAUGCAACGCGAAGAACCUUACCAGGGCUUGACAUGUCCGGAAUCCCGGGUGAAAGCCCUGGGGAGUUGGCCCUUUCCGGGGAAGCCCGGAAACACAGGUUGGUGCAUGGCUGUCGUCAGCUCGUGUCGUGAGAUGUUGGGUUAAGUCCCGCAACGAGCGCAACCCUCGUCUUUAGUUGCCAGCAUUAAGUUUGGGCACUCUAGAGAGACUGCCGGUGACAAACCGGAGGAAGGUGGGGGAUGACGUCAAGUCAGCAUGCCCCUUACGCUUGGGCGACACACGUACUACAAUGUCGGCAGAGGCAGCGACCUGCGAAGGCAAGCUAAUCCCAGCAAACUCGGCCUCAGUUCAGAUCGCAGGCUGCAACUCGCCUGCGUGAAGGAGGGAUCGCUAGUAUCGCCGGUCAGAAUACGGCGGUGAUCCGUUCCCGGGCCUUGUACACACCGCCCGUCACACCAUGGAAGCUGCCACGCCCGAAGUCGUUACC